GUGUCAGCCGCCGCGGUAAUACGGAGGGAGCAAGCGUUACUCGGAAUUAUUGGGCGUAAAGGGCGCGUAGGCGAUCUGACAAGUCUGGUGUGAAAGCCCACAUGUUAACUGUGGAAGUGCAUUAGAAACUGUUGGAUUUGAGUUCAGGAGAGGAAGGCAGAAUUCCCGGUGUAGCGGUGAAAUGCGUAGAGAUCGGGAGGAAUACCAGUGGCGAAGGCGGCCUUCUGGACUGACACUGACGCUGAGGCGCGAAAGCCAGGGGAGCAAACGGGAUUAGAUACCCCCGUAGUCC
This 292-nucleotide ribosomal RNA is filed under the name uncultured bacterium. Its description in RNAcentral is "partial 16S ribosomal RNA". It matches the Rfam family "Bacterial small subunit ribosomal RNA", at positions 505 to 796 of the family's 1533-position model. The record is from RNAcentral.